AGAUUGAACGCUAGCGGGAUGCUUUACACAUGCAAGUCGAACGGCAGCGCGGACUUCGGUCUGGCGGCGAGUGGCGAACGGGUGAGUAAUAUAUCGGAACGUGCCCAGUAGCGGGGGAUAACUACGCGAAAGCGUGGCUAAUACCGCAUACGCCCUACGGGGGAAAGGGGGGGAUUCUUCGGAACCUCUCACUAUUGGAGCGGCCGAUAUCAGAUUAGCUAGUUGGUGAGGUAAAGGCUCACCAAGGCGACGAUCUGUAGCUGGUUUGAGAGGACGACCAGCCACACUGGGACUGAGACACGGCCCAGACUCCUACGGGAGCAGCAGUGGGAAUAGUUGGACAAUGGGGGAAACCCUGAUCCAG
This 364-nucleotide ribosomal RNA is filed under the name uncultured soil bacterium. RNAcentral describes it as "bacterial SSU rRNA". It matches the Rfam family "Bacterial small subunit ribosomal RNA", at positions 26 to 391 of the family's 1533-position model. The record is from RNAcentral.